Non-coding RNA from Stygiomarasmius scandens, 93 nucleotides. The record is from the annotation of a GenBank genome assembly. Lineage: Eukaryota; Fungi; Basidiomycota; Agaricomycetes; Agaricales; Campanellaceae.
GGCUCAAUGGCGUAGUUGGUUAUCGCAUCUGUCUAACAUACCCAAGGUUGUAGUUUGCAUAGAAGGUCUCCUGUUCGAACUAGGGUUGAGUCA